RNAcentral lists this ribosomal RNA (303 nucleotides) under uncultured bacterium. RNAcentral's name for it is "bacterial SSU rRNA". It matches the Rfam family "Bacterial small subunit ribosomal RNA", at positions 335 to 632 of the family's 1533-position model. The record is from RNAcentral.
ACUCCUACGGGAGGCAGCAGUGGGGAAUAUUGGACAAUGGGGAACCCUGAUCCAGCCAUGCCGCGUGUGUGAAGAAGGCCUUCGGGUUGUAAAGCACUUUCAGUGGGGAGGAAAGGUUGUUGGUUAAUACCUAACAGCUGUGACGUUACCCACAGAAGAAGCACCGGCUAACUCCGUGCCAGCAGCCGCGGUAAUACGGAGGGUGCAAGCGUUAAUCGGAAUUACUGGGCGUAAAGCGUGCGCAGGCGGUCUGUUAAGCGAGAUGUGAAAGCCCCGGGCUCAACCUGGGAACUGCAUUUCGAA